UUAUAUAUCUUUAUUCUCAUAAACCAAAGUACAAUGGUACAGAGACAUAUACAAAUAAAUUAACAUAGUAUAAAUUUUAAAUACAAAUGUAAAAUAGAGACAUAAGGUGAUUACCCAGGAGAUUCUAGGCAUUUAAUAAUAAUUCUUAUAAACUUGCACAGAUUGUUUAGUUCAGACGGGUUGCUACUAUUCAUUAGACCUUGAAAUUUUAAAAUAUUUGGUCUGUUUAUAAAAUGAUGCUUUAGUAGCAGUUGUCUACUAUCGUCUAUUGCCGAGCAUUCUAAAAUAUAAUGGAACUCGUCGCCAAUGUCACCGGAAUUGCACAAUGUACAAAUACGAUUUUCUCUCUGAAUGUUUUGCCAUCUACCAAUUUCGAUAGGAAUUUUUGUGUUCAACGUUCUAAAUCUACAAAAAGAAGCAAUAUUUUUGUCAUCUAAAAUAUCAAAGUAGGUUUCGAAAUUUAUACUUUUUUUGAAUAAUUUAUAAUUUAGAGCUUUUGGAGAAUUCUGUACAGUAGCAUACCAUGUCUGUCUGAACUGGUCAGUUAAUCUUAAUUUAACAGUAUCAUACAACCAGUUUUACUUAUAAAAUAUUUAGUGUUCCAUAUAUUUGAUAGCCCACAAUUAUCAAGCACAGAUUUUACAUUCUUACACCAAGCUAUAUUUCCAUUAUAACUACCAGUAACAAGAUUGUAUAGAAUAACAGGAAGUUUCUUAUUUUCCCCAGUUACAAGCUUUUCCCAAUAAUUAAUAGUACGUAAUUUAAUAAAAAUAUCCAGUGGGAAUUAAUCGGCCAAGUUCCCCAUAUAUCAUAUAAUCAGGCGUUGAUUUUUUAAGAUUAAGCAGUAAUUUACAAAAUUUUAGAUGAACACGUUCUAUAACAGAGGUGUUGCCC
This 894-nucleotide long non-coding RNA is filed under the name Mytilus galloprovincialis (Mediterranean mussel). The record is from RNAcentral. Lineage: Eukaryota; Metazoa; Mollusca; Bivalvia; Mytilida; Mytilidae.